RNAcentral lists this non-coding RNA (101 nucleotides) under Neomoorella glycerini. RNAcentral describes it as "Moorella glycerini Guanine sequence". It matches the Rfam family "Purine riboswitch aptamer". From Rfam's summary of the family: Riboswitches are metabolite binding domains within certain messenger RNAs that serve as precision sensors for their corresponding targets. Allosteric rearrangement of mRNA structure is mediated by ligand binding, and this results in modulation of gene expression. Lineage: Bacteria; Bacillati; Bacillota; Clostridia; Neomoorellales; Neomoorellaceae. The record is from RNAcentral.
CGAAUAUAACUUUAGUGAACUCGUAUAACCCCGGCGAUGGGGCCGGGGGUUUCUACCAGGUGACCGGAAUCACCUCGACUACGAGGGUAACCGUCAGCUGG